RNAcentral lists this long non-coding RNA (734 nucleotides) under Rattus norvegicus (Norway rat). RNAcentral describes it as "long non-coding RNA NONRATT009589". The record is from RNAcentral. Lineage: Eukaryota; Metazoa; Chordata; Mammalia; Rodentia; Muridae.
CUAUUUACCAGGAGAGAGGGCUCCUAACUGCAGAGUGGAAAACUAUCAAAAAUAAUGAUAAAACCCUACAGCUACUUGAAGUUCUCCGGUUGCCAAAAGAGGGUGGCCAUCACACACUGUCCAGGCCAUUGAAGAGGAAGGACACCAGUGGUUAGAGGUAACAACUUAGCCAGCGAUCCGCUAAGGAGGUAGCCCUGGAAGACACGACUGCCUCCAUGUUGGCUACUGUCCUGCCUGAGCCACCCAAUCCCAGCUUGCCGGAAUGCCCUGUCUGUGUGAAGGGAGAGAUCAAAUGGGCUAAGAAUCAGCCCAUGAGCCAACGCUCAGAAGGCUGGUGGCAAACGGCUGAAGUUUCUCUUUCUCUACAGGCAGUGUUGGGACACAGCUGUAUUAUGAGUCCUGUGAAAGUGUAUGUGUAAAAGCCACUUGAACCUGUUGAAAUUUAAUGCCAGUGGUGAGCUGAUGCCUGUCAACAUCAGGAUUAUAGUUAGAAAGUCUGAAAGGAAGUGCCCUGUGAUAUUGAAAAAGAGGCCUCUAGAAACCUGACGGCUGUUAGAUAAAAGUCCCAGUGCUGGUGCAGCCUGACUCCCUAGUUGUUGGUCAAGGAGUUCCAGGACCCCCUGAGCAGCACAGGCUGCCUUCUCUGCUGCUGCUUGUUCACCAAGACUACAUUGCUCUCACCUCUAGUCAGAGAAGCUUCCUUUUAGGAAGGGUAGCAGUUACCGAAGAGACUC